CAUUAAUAACUUUUGUGAUUGAUUUGUGGACAAGAACAGUUUUAGAGAAACAAUGAGUGGGGGUCUGAACGGAGUAAGAAAACAUUCCCUGGGGGUUCUUUUGGUGAGCCAUUUCUAACCUACUGCUGACUUCCGGUGGAAAGUCCUUCCAGCCUUCGUAUCUGUCGUGGACCUGCCAUAGUACGGUUUCUACAGAAAGAGGUAGGUUAAACACUGUAUAUGAUUUAAUCAUCUAUUUCGAAAAAAUGACUUACAUAUACAUGUAUACGGUAAACGAUAUAAAUUUAAACGCGUUCAGCUUUGUAUAAGAGUGUGUGUAAAGUUUUGUUGUCAACACAGUUUCAGGUUACUAGUCUAACAAAAACCCCGAGGCAUAUUGAUUUAAAAAAUUAAACAAGAGGCUCUAGAGAAAAUGUGGGGAAAAAUACAGAUAGACAGAUGCUAAACAACAAGCGAUCAGAAAAGCUUAUUUGAGCUUUCAUCUCAGUCCUCACAGUCUGUUACCAGUUCUGGGGUCACCACGCCAUCAGUGAACACGAUGAUUCGGGGUCCGAAACCAGUUCCAUUGACAUGAGGAAUUGUCACUACAGAAAAGUCACAGUACAGUUAAUGACGCCAUUUACUGAAUAUACAGCAUACUACAUCUAUAUAUUCGCCACUCACCUCCGCCACUGACCAGUGCUAAGGCAAGCAUCAGUCCAGCAGUCAAGGGACUCGGACCACCUGGACUAAGUUUUUCUGAAUGAAACCGUUACAGAUAUUCAGUAUCAGAAGCAUAACGCAAAUGACAUAGGGAAUGAACAUGAAAUACUUUCAUUUUUCCAAGGCAACAUCUUGAGUGGUGCUUCAACCCUUUGGGCUGAUGGCCUUUUUUAUGCACCACUUUUGUUUCCAAUAAAGAUUGAUAUGUAUUCUAUAGCAUUAUCACAUCUGUGUUUUGUAAAAAUAUUGUGACUGGGAGACCACUGUUGUGUAAUAAUUUAUUGACCUGCAUUUCUAGUCAAGAAACAGUUUAUAUGUCAACAAUAUCUUUGAUGCUGGUUUGUCUCCCAGCCAAUUCUUUUAUUAUUUUAUGAUUUACAUUUUCUCGUCAUUUAAAUAAAUGACAACUUUUACACUUCAACAUGUUUUCUGUUAUGAUAUUUGGAAACAAACAAAGCUGUUAUGUUGCCUUGGAUAAUCAGUGAGGUUUUAACAUAAAAUAAGGUUUAUUUUCAUAUAAAACAAUUUAUGUUAAAAUUAUACAAUUUUUUCCUUUUUUGAUGUUGGAAUGUUUUGUAUUCUUUAAGUCAUUUACAAAACAUGAAUUAUUAAACUUGGAAUAAAGAGUCCCCCCAAUUUUCGCUCUGUGAUCCGUUUUUAUCUGUUCCAUAACUUUUAUCAAAGCCCUUAUCUGUCUUAGCCAAUCAGAUUGCCGCGCAAGGUAUCUUAUUUACAUAAUCCUUUGUUUACUCGGAGUGCUGCCACGAAAGUUUUUACUGAAGAAAAAGCAACCACCACCUCCACUCCAUCCACCACAAAUUAGAUAUUUUGUAAUUUUUCUCAACUUUUUUACGCACCUUUUGCCUUUUUUAUGCACCACUUUUGUUUCCAAUAAAGAUUGAUAUGUAUUCUAUAGCAUUAUCACAUCUGUGUUUUGUAAAAAUAUUGUGACUGGGAGACCACUGUUGUGUAAUAAUUUAUUGACCUGCAUUUCUAGUCAAGAAACAGUUUAUAUGUCAACAAUAUCUUUGAUGCUGGUUUGUCUCCCAGCCAAUUCUUUUAUUAUUUUAUGAUUUACAUUUUCUCGUCAUUUAAAUAAAUGACAACUUUUACACUUCAA
Ostrea edulis (European flat oyster) is the source of this 1822-nucleotide long non-coding RNA. RefSeq lists it as uncharacterized. NCBI's taxonomy places the organism in Eukaryota, Metazoa, Mollusca, Bivalvia, Ostreida, Ostreidae. The transcript is spliced from 5 exons. The record is from RefSeq and is a predicted model, not a curated record.